RNAcentral lists this ribosomal RNA (277 nucleotides) under uncultured prokaryote. RNAcentral describes it as "partial 16S ribosomal RNA". It matches the Rfam family "Bacterial small subunit ribosomal RNA", at positions 524 to 801 of the family's 1533-position model. The record is from RNAcentral.
UACGUAGGGGGCUAGCGUUAUCCGGAAUUACUGGGCGUAAAGGGUGCGUAGGUGGUUUCUUAAGUCAGAGGUGAAAGGCUACGGCUCAACCGUAGUAAGCCUUUGAAACUGAGAAACUUGAGUGCAGGAGAGGAGAGUAGAAUUCCUAGUGUAGCGGUGAAAUGCGUAGAUAUUAGGAGGAAUACCAGUUGCGAAGGCGGCUCUCUGGACUGUAACUGACACUGAGGCACGAAAGCGUGGGGAGCAAACAGGAUUAGAUACCCGGGUAGUCCCUGAG